UCCGAGUUGACCCCGGCAGUCUCCUAUGAGUCCCCACCAUCACGUGCUGGCAACAUAGGACAAGGGUUGCGCUCGUUGCGGGACUUAACCCAACAUCUCACGACACGAGCUGACGACAACCAUGCACCACCUGUGUACCGCCCCGAAGGACACCGUAUCUCUACGGCUUUUCGGUACAUGUCAAGCCUAGGUAAGGUUCUUCGCGUUGCAUCGAAUUAAGCAACAUGCUCCGCCGCUUGUGCGGGCCCCCGUCAAUUCCUUUGAGUUUUAGCCUUGCGGCCGUACUCCCCAGGCGGGGUGCUUAAUGCGUUAGCUGCGGCACCGCGGGGGUCAAUACCCGCAACACCCAGUUCUCAUCGUUUACAGCGUGGACUAC
RNAcentral lists this unclassified non-coding RNA (376 nucleotides) under uncultured Actinomycetes bacterium. Its description in RNAcentral is "uncultured actinobacterium contains 16S-23S intergenic spacer region". Lineage: Bacteria; Bacillati; Actinomycetota; Actinomycetes. The record is from RNAcentral.